Cyprinodon tularosa is the source of this 350-nucleotide long non-coding RNA. RefSeq lists it as uncharacterized. NCBI's taxonomy places the organism in Eukaryota, Metazoa, Chordata, Actinopteri, Cyprinodontiformes, Cyprinodontidae. The transcript has 3 exons. The record is from RefSeq and is a predicted model, not a curated record.
UUUUCCAGCCUUGUAAUGGACAGUGAAGUUAUAUGGUUGCAGAGCGAGGUACCAUCCAGCAAUCCGUGCAUUCGCAUCCUUCAUCCGAUGCAGCCACUGGAGGGCCCGGUGAUCCGUCUCCAGAAAGAAAUGUCGUCCCAGCAGGUACUCAGGCCCCCGGGGAAUCUUUUAGCCUGAACACCCUGCAGAGGAAGAGAGAGGACAUAAUCAGUUCCAGCUGAGAUGCCACCGAACCCACCAUUAAUAAACCAUUUCAAUCAGUUUGUAUCCGGUUCAUUUCCUUCAUCAUGCAUUUCUUUUAUCAUUUAACACAUUUUAAGUGUUGUACCACCAAGUAAUGAAGACCUUCA